CUACGGGAGGCAGCAGUGGGGAAUUUUGCGCAAUGGGGGAAACCCUGACGCAGCAACGCCGCGUGAGUGAUGAAGGCUUUCGGGUCGUAAAGCUCUGUCAGAAGGGAAGAAAUGGGGCUGGCUAAUAUCCAGUUUUCUUGACGGUACCUUCAAAGGAAGCACCGGCUAACUCCGUGCCAGCAGCCGCGGUAAUACGGAGGGUGCAAGCGUUGUUCGGAUUUAUUGGGCGUAAAGCGCGUGUAGGCGGUUUCUUAAGUCUGAUGUGAAAGCCCUGGGCUCAACCCAGGAAGUGCAUUGGAUACUGGGAGACUUGAAUACGGGAGAGGGUAGUGGAAUUCCUAGUGUAGGAGUGAAAUCCGUAGAUAUUAGGAGGAACACCGGUGGCGAAGGCGGCUACCUGGACCGAUAUUGACGCUGAGACGCGAAAGCGUGGGGAGCAAACAGGAUUAGAUACCCGUGUAGUCCU
Molecule: ribosomal RNA, 466 nt
Filed under: uncultured bacterium
Lineage: Bacteria
Description: bacterial SSU rRNA
Rfam family: Bacterial small subunit ribosomal RNA
Source: RNAcentral